RNAcentral lists this ribosomal RNA (604 nucleotides) under Sceloporus gadsdeni (Lagoon spiny lizard). RNAcentral's name for it is "partial 12S ribosomal RNA". It matches the Rfam family "Bacterial small subunit ribosomal RNA", at positions 9 to 990 of the family's 1533-position model. Lineage: Eukaryota; Metazoa; Chordata; Lepidosauria; Squamata; Phrynosomatidae. The record is from RNAcentral.
AUAGUUUUGGUCCUAAACUUACUGCUACUUUUAAUCAAAUUUACACAUGCAAGCAUCCACACACCAGUGAAAUACGCCCUAACACAGUAUAAAUGGAGCAGGUAUCAGGCACAACCGCCAGCCAAAAACACCAAGCUUUGCCACACCCACACGGGCCCUCAGCAGUGAUAAACAUUAAGCAAUAAGCGAACACACCAAACUAAAGCUUGACUUAGUUAUGAUUAACAGGGCCGGUAAACCUCGUGCCAGCCACCGCGGUUACACGGCGGGCCCAAAGCAGCAGACUCUCGGCGUAAAUAGUGGCCAGAAUAAUUACCCCCACAUUAAAAACUAAACCAUACCCUAACCGUAAAACACAGGCUAAAUGAAAUCAAGCACUUUUAAUAACAGGUAAUUUGACCCACGAAAACUAAGAAACAAACUAGGAUUAGAUACCCUACUAUGCUUAGUCGUUAAUAUGAUAUUAUAGUACUAAAAUAUCCGCCAGAAAACUACGAGCGAAAAGCUUAAAACUCAAAGGACUUGGCGGUGCUCCAUACCGACUUAGAGGAGCCUGUCCUAUAAUCGAUACCCCACGCUAAACCCCACCAAUCUUUGCCAUACC